GUGCUUUCUUUGGCAGCACAUAUACUAAGUUUGGAACAGCGAAGAGAAGAUUAGCAUGGCCUCUGUGCAGGGAUAACACAAAAAGUUGUGGAGCGGUCUGUAUGAAA
Mesocricetus auratus (golden hamster) is the source of this 107-nucleotide small nuclear RNA. The record is from Ensembl. NCBI's taxonomy places the organism in Eukaryota, Metazoa, Chordata, Mammalia, Rodentia, Cricetidae.